RNAcentral lists this ribosomal RNA (402 nucleotides) under uncultured bacterium. Its description in RNAcentral is "bacterial SSU rRNA". It matches the Rfam family "Bacterial small subunit ribosomal RNA", at positions 355 to 774 of the family's 1533-position model. The record is from RNAcentral.
UGGGGAAUCUUGCACAAUGGGGGCAACCCUGAUGCAGCGACGCCGCGUGAGCGAUGAAGCCCUUCGGGGCGUAAAGCUCUUUCGACCGGAACGAUAAUGACGGUACCGGGAGAAGAAGCUGCGGCUAACUACGUGCCAGCAGCCGCGGUAAUACGUAGGCAGCAAGCGUUGUUCGGAGUUACUGGGCGUAAAGAGUGCGUAGGCGGUUUUCUAAGUUCGGUGUGAAAUCUCCCGGCUUAACUGGGAGGGUGCGCCGAAGACUGGGAAGCGGGAUUGUGGGAAAGGCAGGCGGAAUUCCUGGUGUAGCGGUGGAAUGCGUAGAUAUCAGGAGGAACACCGGCGGUGUAGACGGCUUGCUAGACCAUAACUGACGCUGAGGCACGAAAGCGUGGGUAGCAAACA